RNAcentral lists this ribosomal RNA (497 nucleotides) under uncultured bacterium. RNAcentral describes it as "partial 16S ribosomal RNA". It matches the Rfam family "Bacterial small subunit ribosomal RNA", at positions 28 to 507 of the family's 1533-position model. The record is from RNAcentral.
GAUGAACGCUGGCGGCGUGCCUAAUACAUGCAAGUCGAGCGAACGGACGAGAAGCUUGCUUCUCUGAUGUUAGCGGCGGACGGGUGAGUAACACGUGGAUAACCUACCUAUAAGACUGGGAUAACUUCGGGAAACCGGAGCUAAUACCGGAUGAUAUGUUGAACCGCAUGGUUCAAAAGUGAAAGACGGUCUUGCUGUCACUUAUAGAUGGAUCCGCGCUGCAUUAGCUAGUUGGUAAGGUAACGGCUUACCAAGGCAACGAUGCAUAGCCGACCUGAGAGGGUGAUCGGCCACACUGGAACUGAGACACGGUCCAGACUCCUACGGGAGGCAGCAGUAGGGAAUCUUCCGCAAUGGGCGAAAGCCUGACGGAGCAACGCCGCGUGAGUGAUGAAGGUCUUCGGAUCGUAAAACUCUGUUAUUAGGGAAGAACAUAUGUGUAAGUAACUGUGCACAUCUUGACGGUACCUAAUCAGAAAGCCACGGCUAACUACGUG